CCCAGAUAAGCGAGGAGUCUCAGAGCAGUGAGUGAGUGAGCGAAUCAGCGCGGCGCUCGUGUUUCACGCCCGCCUGUGAACACCAAACCCGGCACGGAGAAACGGACCGGUGUGAACACGCCCUAAAUGUCGUGACUCGUUUAAGCACUGGAAGUUAUCACGCCGCUUUACCCAUGAUGCAGAGCGAGAGAAUCGGACAGACCCUGAUGUAGCUGUAACGAGGACGAGGUUCUACGCCCUGCGAGGGUUCAUGAUCGGAGAGGAAGGCUCGGUUCUGACCCGGGCCGGUCCACUCGUCCUGACUCGCUGCUCUACAGAGAUCCUGCACUCUGAAUAAACACGCCGGAAAUCAACAGAAAUAACAACACAGGAGAUAUAAAUAAAAACAUUCUCUAAACCCAUUCGAAUGUUCAGUUAUUAGCGGCGAACGACUGAACAAUUAGAACUGUAAAGGAACCGUUUGGAUAAAGAUGAAACCCAGCAGCGUUUGAGGUCGUGUUUCCUCCCAAACCACCCCGAGUGGCCAUGUGCCGAUAUCUCACUUCGCUCCACUUCACUGCGUUCUGCAGAAGAUAUAAAGCUGUUCCUCUGCUAGAUUUACAGACUCAGAGCAGGAUUCUGUCUAUGAAAGGAAGAGACAGUGUGAAUAUAAUAAUGAUGAUAACAGUAAUAAGCGGAGGAACGUGCAGGACACGAGGGCACCCCCGUGUGUGUGUGUGUGUGCGUGUGUGUGUGCGUGUAUGUGCGUGUGCGUGUGUGUUUCUGUCUCUCGGCUGAAGCGUAUGGUUCUGCUGGAAGACGUGUGCAGCUGUUCUGAUGGUUUGUGUCAGCGUGUAGAUCAUCAGCCUGAGAAGAACGAGAGGAGAACAGUGAUGUAGAAACGCCGCCGAGCUCCGGGAGAAGAAUUCAUCACCGUCAUCAUCACCAUCAUAAUCGUCAUCAUUAUUGUAACGCCAGGACAAUUUGUUC
Ictalurus punctatus (channel catfish) is the source of this 969-nucleotide long non-coding RNA. NCBI's taxonomy places the organism in Eukaryota, Metazoa, Chordata, Actinopteri, Siluriformes, Ictaluridae. The record is from Ensembl.